Cygnus olor (mute swan) is the source of this 178-nucleotide long non-coding RNA. RefSeq lists it as uncharacterized. The transcript has 4 exons. Lineage: Eukaryota; Metazoa; Chordata; Aves; Anseriformes; Anatidae. The record is from RefSeq and is a predicted model, not a curated record.
AACUCACUUUUAAUAGAAGAAACCAGCCACUUAUAAUCGCUUACACACUACUAUUUUCACCCCUCAGUCUAUUUUAACAAAUGUUAAAAGGCGCAUGGUGGUCCUUGGGGACUCCUCCUGUCACCCCAGUGCAGCAGCCCGAAGGGAGCUGGGUGGUUGCACACAAUCCUUGGUGGUU